CCCUUAGAUGUUCUGGGCCGCACGCGCGCUACACUGACGAAUGCAACGAGCUUAUAACCUUGGCUGAAAGGUCUGGGUAAUCUCCAAAUUUCGUCGUGAUGGGGAUAGAUUAUUGCAAUUAUUAAUCUUCAACGAGGAAUGCCUAGUAAGCGCAAGUCAUCAGCUUGCGUUGAUUACGUCCCUGCCCUUUGUACACACCGCCCGUCGCUCCUACCGAUUGAAUGGUCCGGUGAAGCGCUCGGACCGCGGCCUCUUGACGGUUCGCUGUCGAUUGGCUGUGGGAAGUUCGUUAAACCUUAUCAUUUAGAGGAAGGAGAAGUCGUAACA
This 327-nucleotide ribosomal RNA is filed under the name uncultured eukaryote. RNAcentral describes it as "partial 18S ribosomal RNA". It matches the Rfam family "Eukaryotic small subunit ribosomal RNA", at positions 1470 to 1796 of the family's 1831-position model. The record is from RNAcentral.